UACGAAGGGGGCUAGCGUUGCUCGGAAUCACUGGGCGUAAAGGGUGCGUAGGCGGGUCUUUAAGUCAGGGGUGAAAUCCUGGAGCUCAACUCCAGAACUGCCUUUGAUACUGGAGAUCUUGAGUUCCGGGAGAGGUGAGUGGAACUGCGAGUGUAGAGGUGAAAUUCGUAGAUAUUCGCAAGAACACCAGUGGCGAAGGCGGCUCACUGGCCCGGUACUGACGCUGAGGUGCGAAAGCGUGGGGAGUAAACAGG
RNAcentral lists this ribosomal RNA (254 nucleotides) under uncultured bacterium. RNAcentral describes it as "partial 16S ribosomal RNA". It matches the Rfam family "Bacterial small subunit ribosomal RNA", at positions 524 to 776 of the family's 1533-position model. The record is from RNAcentral.